Molecule: transfer RNA, 66 nt
Filed under: Sinogammarus chuanhui
Lineage: Eukaryota; Metazoa; Arthropoda; Malacostraca; Amphipoda; Gammaridae
Description: tRNA-Val
Source: RNAcentral
GAUGAUAAAAGUUCGCUUACAAUGAAAAUUACCUUAUAGGCAUCUUUAUAGAAAUAUUAAACAGAA